Molecule: ribosomal RNA, 1340 nt
Filed under: uncultured Streptococcus sp.
Lineage: Bacteria; Bacillati; Bacillota; Bacilli; Lactobacillales; Streptococcaceae
Description: bacterial SSU rRNA
Rfam family: Bacterial small subunit ribosomal RNA
Source: RNAcentral
CUCUUCUUGGAUGAGUUGCGAACGGGUGAGUAACGCGUAGGUAACCUGCCUUGUAGCGGGGGAUAACUAUUGGAAACGAUAGCUAAUACCGCAUAACAAUGGAUGACACAUGUCAUUUAUUUGAAAGGGGCAAUUGCUCCACUACAAGAUGGACCUGCGUUGUAUUAGCUAGUAGGUGAGGUAAUGGCUCACCUAGGCGACGAUACAUAGCCGACCUGAGAGGGUGAUCGGCCACACUGGGACUGAGACACGGCCCAGACUCCUACGGGAGGCAGCAGUAGGGAAUCUUCGGCAAUGGGGGCAACCCUGACCGAGCAACGCCGCGUGAGUGAAGAAGGUUUUCGGAUCGUAAAGCUCUGUUGUAAGUCAAGAACGGGUGUGAGAGUGGAAAGUUCACACUGUGACGGUAGCUUACCAGAAAGGGACGGCUAACUACGUGCCAGCAGCCGCGGUAAUACGUAGGUCCCGAGCGUUGUCCGGAUUUAUUGGGCGUAAAGCGAGCGCAGGCGGUUUGAUAAGUCUGAAGUUAAAGGCUGUGGCUCAACCAUAGUUCGCUUUGGAAACUGUCAAACUUGAGUGCAGAAGGGGAGAGUGGAAUUCCAUGUGUAGCGGUGAAAUGCGUAGAUAUAUGGAGGAACACCGGUGGCGAAAGCGGCUCUCUGGUCUGUAACUGACGCUGAGGCUCGAAAGCGUGGGGAGCGAACAGGAUUAGAUACCCUGGUAGUCCACGCCGUAAACGAUGAGUGCUAGGUGUUGGAUCCUUUCCGGGAUUCAGUGCCGCAGCUAACGCAUUAAGCACUCCGCCUGGGAAGUACGACCGCAAGGUUGAAACUCAAAGGAAUUGACGGGGGCCCGCACAAGCGGUGGAGCAUGUGGUUUAAUUCGAAGCAACGCGAAGAACCUUACCAGGUCUUGACAUCCCGAUGCUAUUUCUAGAGAUAGAAAGUUACUUCGGUACAUCGGUGACAGGUGGUGCAUGGUUGUCGUCAGCUCGUGUCGUGAGAUGUUGGGUUAAGUCCCGCAACGAGCGCAACCCCUAUUGUUAGUUGCCAUCAUUCAGUUGGGCACUCUAGCGAGACUGCCGGUAAUAAACCGGAGGAAGGUGGGGAUGACGUCAAAUCAUCAUGCCCCUUAUGACCUGGGCUACACACGUGCUACAAUGGUUGGUACAACGAGUUGCGAGUCGGUGACGGCGAGCUAAUCUCUUAAAGCCAAUCUCAGUUCGGAUUGUAGGCUGCAACUCGCCUACAUGAAGUCGGAAUCGCUAGUAAUCGCGGAUCAGCACGCCGCGGUGAAUACGUUCCCGGGCCUUGUACACACCGCCCGUCACACCACGAGAG